RNAcentral lists this long non-coding RNA (1023 nucleotides) under Salmo salar (Atlantic salmon). Its description in RNAcentral is "lncRNA (ENSSSAG00000105981.1, ENSSSAG00020059297.1)". The record is from RNAcentral. Lineage: Eukaryota; Metazoa; Chordata; Actinopteri; Salmoniformes; Salmonidae.
AUAGAAAGGCAGAUUAAUAAAGGUAGAGACAGAGAAUAUAGACCAUAGAAAGGCAGAUGAAUAGAGGUAUAGACACAGAGAUUAUGGCCAUAGAAAGGCAGAUGGAUGGAGGUAGAGACAGAGAUUAGAGCCAUAGAAAGGCAGAUGGAUAGAGGUAGAGACAGAGAGAUUAGAGACAUAAAGGCAGAUGGAUAGAGGUAGAGACAGAGAGAAUAUAGACCAUAGAAAGGCAGAUUAAUAAAGGUAGAAACAGAGAAUAUAGACCAUAGAAUGGCAGAUGAAUAGAGGUAUAGAUACAGAGAUUAUAGCCAUAGAAAGGCAGAUGGAUAGAGGUAGAGACAGAGACAGUAGGCAGAGGAUGGUGCCUAUACACCAGUUCCUGGAACCAUAUACUUUAGGAGAGGCCUCUUAGUGAAGGGAAGGUGGUGGGCCAUUCCAUUCCUGGAAAACCCCAAGAGGACCAUGCUAAUGAGGAAAAUGUGGCCCAAGGCAUGUCGCUGCCUGCCUGCCUGCCUGCCUGCUUUCAAAAGCUUCCCUGCAGAGACCGAAGACUAUUUCUAGCAACAGCACUGCUUCUUAGAAGAACACUAUCUCGAACACUUGAUGGGGAUUUAGGCGGGAAGGGAACCUUCGAUAUACAGUAAAUAGCACUUAACGGAUUCAACAUGGGAUCAUUUGAAGACUUUAGUUCCAAAACGCAAUGUCCGCCAAUUUUUCACAUUUGUGUUUUUUAAUCAAAAAUCAUUGCUUAUGUGUACCUUCAUGUGGAUUCAGUGUUGGGGCGGUAAUCAAAAGGUUGCUGGUUUGAAUACCUGAACCGACAAGUUGAAAAAUCCUCCCAGAAGAUGUGUGUGUAAAAAAUUACUGUUGUCAGAUUUUUUUAUUCAUAGAUUUUAAAAUGUUUUUUUUUUGCAAAACGCUAUAUAUCCAUUAUUUAGCUGAAAUGGAAUGUCCGUAUGAUUUGAAAGUAGUCAGGUUACACUGAAGGGUUCCCUGAUAACUUCCAUAUAAAAAGCAGCAGAG